GAUCACAGGCGAAGAAGGACGUAAUAGCUUGCGAAAAGCUGCGGGGAGUUGGCAAAUGAGCAUUGAUCCGCAGAUAUCCGAAUGGGGAAACCCACCUCUUUUUAGGAGGUAUCCUUAUCUGAAUACAUAGGGUGAGGAGGCGAACCGAGUGAACUGAAACAUCUAAGUAACUCGAGGAGAAGAAAUCAACCGAGAUUCUGAAAGUAGUGGCGAACGAAAUUGGAUGAGCCGCAACGAGAUAGUAAUUGUAGUAGUCGAACUUACUGGGAAGUAAGACCGUAGAGGGUGAUAGUCCUGUAGACGAAACUAUAGUUAUGGUACUAGGCGUUGCAACAAGUAGGGCGGGACACGUGUAAUCCUGUUCGAAGAUGGGGGGACCAUCCUCCAAGGCUAAAUACUCGUGAUCGACCGAUAGUGAACCAGUACCGUGAGGGAAAGGCGAAAAGAACCCCGGGAGGGGAGUGAAAUAGAACCUGAAACCGUGUGCAUACAAACAGUCGGAGCCCUAGACUUAAGGGUCCUGCAAUUUAGGGGUUCUUUGUGAUGCCUUAAGGCAUCACUAAAGAUAUUUCUAAGUAAAUAGCAAGCGAUAUAUUUAAUAAGGAAAAUAAAAGAAGUGAGAAAUGCCUUAAGGCAUCACUAAAGAUAUUCCAAAGUAAAUAGAAAGCGAUGUAAUUUACAAAUUUAGUAGGGUCUUUAAGUCUAGGGUGACGGCGUACCUUUUGUAUAAUGGGUCAGCGACUUACAUUCAGUGGCAAGCUUAACCGGAUAGGGUAGGCGUAGCGAAAGCGAGUCCGAAUAGGGCGUCUAUAGUCGCUGGGUGUAGACCCGAAACCAGAUGAUCUAUCCAUGGCCAGGUUGAAGGUGCCGUAACAGGUACUGGAGGACCCAACCCACUAAUGUUGAAAAAUUAGGGGAUGAGCUGUGGAUAGGGGUGAAAGGCUAAACAAAUCUGGAAAUAGCUGGUUCUCUCCGAAAACUAUUUAGGUAGUGCCUCAUGAAUAACUGUUGGGGGUAGAGCACUGUUAUGGCUAGGGGGUCAUGGCGACUUACCAAACCAUGGCAAACUCCGAAUACUGACAAGUUCGAUCAUGGGAGACAGAGCACUGGGUGCUAACGUCCAGACUCAAGAGGGAAACAACCCAGACCGCCAGCUAAGGUCCCUAAAAUUGGCUAAGUGGGAAACGAAGUGGGAAGGCAUAGACAGUCAGGAGGUUGGCUUAGAAGCAGCCACCCUUUAAAGAAAGCGUAAUAGCUCACUGAUCGAGUCGUCCUGCGCGGAAGAUGUAACGGGGCUAAGCCAGUUACCGAAGCUGCGGAUGC
Molecule: ribosomal RNA, 1323 nt
Filed under: Taylorella asinigenitalis
Lineage: Bacteria; Pseudomonadati; Pseudomonadota; Betaproteobacteria; Burkholderiales; Alcaligenaceae
Description: bacterial LSU rRNA
Rfam family: Bacterial large subunit ribosomal RNA
Source: RNAcentral